RNAcentral lists this long non-coding RNA (2450 nucleotides) under Sus scrofa (pig). Its description in RNAcentral is "lncRNA (ENSSSCG00000059000.1)". Lineage: Eukaryota; Metazoa; Chordata; Mammalia; Artiodactyla; Suidae. The record is from RNAcentral.
AGCUGUGCUGUCAUCGUACUGCUGUUCAGGUUUACUCUGCUCCAGCCCAGUUUGGAAGACUUUCUUGUUUAGCAAGUCUCCAGAGUGGAAUUUGCUGUAGGAGAUCACUCAGUUCUCCAGGGUCCUCAGAGCCCCUAGGGGGCUCCUUGAGGAGUUGGGGGCACAUUUGCUAAUGUCUGAGAAGGGGAGAUGGACAGCAGUCUCUGAAGCAUUUUUAGUAUUUGGUGGCAAGUAGCCAAACGACAACCUCAAAUCAACAUAAAAAUCAUAUUAUGUUCCCGUCGUGGCUCAGCAGGAACAAAUCUGACUAGCAUCCAUGAUGAUGCAGGUUCGAUCCCUGGCCUCGCUCAAUGGGUUAAGGAUCUGGCUUUGCCAUGAGCUGUGGUAUAGGUUGCAGACUCGGCUCGGAUCCCACAUUGCUGUGGCUCUGGCUGGUGACUGUAGCUCUGAUUAGACCCCUAGCCUGGGAACCUCCGUAUGCUGUGGGUGUGACCCUAAAAAGACAAAGAAAAAAAAAGAAGUACUAUUUAUGAUGGAGCUAAGGGCUGAGCUCCAGUGUUAUCACGAAGCAUAAUCAACUUAAAAACGAUUCAUCUUUUAAAAGCAUCAUCAGCUGGUACUGGACACUACUCCGAACAGCUGCGCCGACUUCCAGGUGGGGCCGUGGUACUAAGGCAGUUCUGCAGCCAGUGCGCAGGAGGACGGCGGGCCUGGGCCGAGGUCUGACUGCAAACCAAGUUACCCACAGCAAGGUGCUUCUAGAGUUUGGUCAGGAUUUCUUCAGUUCUAGGCUCUCUGUCUAUAGAAGGGAAAGACCUCCAACAAGGAGCCGUGAACUGAGAGGUGCAGGAGGUUCUGGGGGGGUCUCUCUGUUGACUGAAAUGGUGAGCCCUAUGCCGGAGGGGCACCGGCCCUCAGAGAAGAUACAGAAGCCGAAGGGCACACCUUGGGUAGAUUCGAGAGAGGCUUCAGGCCCUUGUGCCAUCGUCUGGUGUUCUGUGGGGAAGAGCAUAUCAAUUACAGCAUCCCUCAGUGCCAGUCGGCUGAGAGCUGAGAAGAAGGAAUCCAGGUAAGAGCACUUCUUUCUGGCAUCAGAUGGUGUGGGCGCGAGAGCUUGGAUGGCCAAGUGUGCCUCUUAAAGCCGAGGAUCUCUCCAGGGCUGAGCUUCUCAAAGUGGGGUCCCAGGGCUACCUAAAUCAGAAACACAGGCCACAUUCUACCCCAUCCGCAGGUCCAAUCCUGUGAGAUGAUCUUAAGCACAUUAAGCGUAUAGAAGCAGCAAAAUCUAGGGCCAUUAGAUUCUGUUAUUCUCUAGACUUCCACAUCAGUUUCUCACAGCUGGCCUUUCCCAGCUGCCUUUUCAGCCUAUCUUGGUGGCAGCAGUAAUCAGUCAAGACCCCCAUGGGACAUCCUUCCAGGGCCAACAGUAGAGCUUCUGGGUUUUCGUUAAGGAAGGUGGUAUUUCUUAACAGGUGGGUAUCAGGUGAAGGGGGCAAAGUGCUAACACAACCACAACAGAGGGAGAAUAACUCUUCUCAGGGAAAUGUGGACAAGCUCCCAUGAGACGUGGAAGUCGCCUUUCCUAGGUCUUGAAAAAACAAGUUGCUCUCUCCAUCCGUACUCAGGAGCUUUUAGCAUCCAUACACUCCCCAAAUAAGACACUAGACUUUGGACUUUAAGCCUUAAGAUGCCGGGCAGCCUGUAACAGAAGCACCUGGCUUCAUUGUGCUAUUUUUCCGGCAUAGUGACUCACCGCAACCACACCUCUCCCCAAACAAGUGGCCAGGUUUCUCCACCACCAGAUACGCCCUGAGUGACAGUACAGCCAUUAGAAGUGAAUGUCCUGUUUUCACCACACUGGCCUUUGUUUUUACCUUCAGCUAAUGUCAUGUUGCCCUUUAUUCUCCACUACUUCUUACCCUUUAAAAAAAAAAAAAAAAGUCCCUCCAAAUUAUCCUUCUAUUAGUAUUAAUGUCAACUAGAUUCCUCUCAAAGGACAGUCAAGCUUAAUCGACCCCAUUAAAUCUGCAGGGUGUUUUUUGUAUCACUAUCUAUUCCACUAGCUUCGACAUCACACUGAAGUAGGACAGCAUGUUCCAAACGGAAACUGAAACCGGAACAGGAGCUUUGCUGCUCUAGUGUGAAGGGAGGGCUAGAAGCCUGGCACCUGGCCUCGGAAGCUUUUCAAUAAGAUACAGACUGAAAUGUACCUAGCCAAUUCAAGAGGCUCAAAGUAGGGUAUAAGCAGAAAAAAUAUUUUUUUUAAAUAACAGAGAUAGGCACAGGACACCAUGCCCUAAGGACUCAUCCUUUCCAAUCAGUCCUGCAUGUUCUUUGUUCCUGGCUCCCUAGUACUACAUAAAAAAUGAUAGUAGUUUUCUGAAACAUUUUCAGGAGGUGGCCCAAGCCAUAGUUCAAAGGUAACAUCAUAAACUUUUAAAAUUAAAAUC